CCAAACUUGGUCAUUUAGAGGAAGUAAAAGUCGUAACAAGGUUUCCGUAGGUGAACCUGCGGAAGGAUCAUUAUUGAACUAUGUUUUCUCAACUGGUUGUCGCUGGCUCUUUGGAGCAUGUGCACGCCUGUUUGGGACUUCAUUUUCAUCCACCUGUGCACCUUUGUAGUCUCUGGAGGGGGAGUUGGGAAAUGGGGUGGUCAAGUUCUCGGUGUUUCUCGAAGCACCGGAAUAAUGAGGACUUGCAGUGCAGAUGAAGUGCUGCUGUCUUUGGCUUGGCCAUGACGGCUCUCUCUCCCCUUUGAUCUCAGAGUCUAUGUUCAUUCAUACACCCUGUAAAAAUGUCUUUGAAUGUCCUUACAUGGGCUUCUUGCCUAUGAUAAAAUAAUAUACAACUUUCAGCAACGGAUCUCUUGGCUCUCGCAUCGAUGAAGAACGCAGC
This 442-nucleotide unclassified non-coding RNA is filed under the name uncultured fungus. RNAcentral describes it as "partial contains small subunit ribosomal RNA, internal transcribed spacer 1, and 5.8S ribosomal RNA". The stretch from base 1 to 73 matches the Rfam family "Eukaryotic small subunit ribosomal RNA", at positions 1759 to 1831 of the family's 1831-position model. The record is from RNAcentral. Lineage: Eukaryota; Fungi.